GCCUUGUCAGGAUGAAGUUCCAUCUGUCGAGCAAUCCAUGGCCCAUCAAAAUGUGCAUACCACCAACCCUUCUUCUUGUUCUGGGGAUCUUUGUAUUGGUCCAUGGGACGGAUGAAGGGAAUGCGGAAGUAACGCUGUUGUCUAUUUAUUUCAAUCUCCUGCUGCCUCAUUGGUAGCUGAGCUGUUGGGUUCUGUUGAGCAUAGUCUGUGACUGAUUUGGGAGCACGCUGUUCUGUUUCUGCAUUGCGUUUCUUGUUCUUGGAUUUCCA
RNAcentral lists this long non-coding RNA (269 nucleotides) under Gallus gallus (chicken). The record is from RNAcentral. Lineage: Eukaryota; Metazoa; Chordata; Aves; Galliformes; Phasianidae.